Molecule: transfer RNA, 77 nt
Filed under: Candidatus Uhrbacteria bacterium RIFCSPHIGHO2_02_FULL_53_13
Lineage: Bacteria; Candidatus Uhriibacteriota
Also listed under: 2 other names
Description: tRNA-Val
Rfam family: tRNA
About the family: Transfer RNA (tRNA) molecules are approximately 80 nucleotides in length. Their secondary structure includes four short double-helical elements and three loops (D, anti-codon, and T loops). Further hydrogen bonds mediate the characteristic L-shaped molecular structure. tRNAs have two regions of fundamental functional importance: the anti-codon, which is responsible for specific mRNA codon recognition, and the 3' end, to which the tRNAs corresponding amino acid is attached (by aminoacyl-tRNA synthetases). tRNAs cope with the degeneracy of the genetic code in two manners: having more than one tRNA (with a specific anti-codon) for a particular amino acid; and 'wobble' base-pairing, i.e. permitting non-standard base-pairing at the 3rd anti-codon position.
Source: RNAcentral
GCGCGUAUAGCUCAGCUGGUUAGAGCGCCACAUUGACAUUGUGGAGGUCCCCGGUUCGAAUCCAGGUACGCGCACCA